UAACUUGAGAGUUUGAUCCUGGCUCAGAACGAACGCUGGCGGCACGCUUAACACAUGCAAGUCGAACGGAAUUAUGGAGCUUGCUUCAUAAUUUAGUGGCGCACGGGUGAGUA
This 113-nucleotide ribosomal RNA is filed under the name Holosporaceae bacterium. RNAcentral's name for it is "partial 16S ribosomal RNA". It matches the Rfam family "Bacterial small subunit ribosomal RNA", at positions 1 to 112 of the family's 1533-position model. The record is from RNAcentral. Lineage: Bacteria; Pseudomonadati; Pseudomonadota; Alphaproteobacteria; Holosporales; Holosporaceae.